Acanthochromis polyacanthus (spiny chromis) is the source of this 663-nucleotide long non-coding RNA. RefSeq lists it as uncharacterized. Lineage: Eukaryota; Metazoa; Chordata; Actinopteri; Pomacentridae. The transcript is spliced from 4 exons. The record is from RefSeq and is a predicted model, not a curated record.
UUAAUCAACUCGGAGUAGUUUGACCCGGAGUCAAGCGCGUGCACCGCAACUCUGAAAAGACAGCAUCAAUGGAACCCCGAUUCGACGAGUCACCAUGGAAACGGGGAAGCGAAAGGCUGCGUUUUUGAACUGGAAGUUUUUAACGCGCUCAUAUUGCGAGUUUGAACACGUUUUUAGAAAGAAGUGCAACACCGCUGCAGCUGCAAAAGAGAGAGAGACGGCGUGGAGAACAGCCCGGAUCAAUGCCACAACAGACCUUGUAAUUGAUGAAGAGGAUGAAACUGUGUCUGCUGCCUUUACAGAGGGGGAUCCAGAAAGGCAUACAGAGAGCAUGGCUGGACAGCAGCAGGAUGGUUCCUCAGCUUCCACUGCACAGACUGACACAGUGAGAUGGAUGUUCAGGAAACACCAGAGCUUCAUUCUGUGGAAUUCAUGUGCAACUGUAAAAUUGAAUGUCCUCUAUGUAUUCCCAGUUAUCAGUAAAACAGAUUUACAAACUGUAUUUGCUGAGAAGAAUCCAAAAAACAGAUUAGGAGGACAGAUCUGGAAAUUGAAAUACUGGAGCACAAGUUAGAGGUGGUGAUGGUCACAGGUGAAUUAUGUUAACUACUGGAACAUGAACUGAACUGUUUAUUUGUAGGAAAUAAAGAAGAGCAAAUGAAA